RNAcentral lists this long non-coding RNA (228 nucleotides) under Nicotiana benthamiana. RNAcentral describes it as "long non-coding RNA (NBEN_LNC013077)". The record is from RNAcentral. Lineage: Eukaryota; Viridiplantae; Streptophyta; Magnoliopsida; Solanales; Solanaceae.
UCGAAACGGCAGAGAGGCUGUUUCCAAACGACCCUCGGCGCAUAGGAUAAAAUGGAAUGCUGCAUUGGAACAAAGACAAAAUUAGGAACCAAAGCAAGACAAAACAAAGUAAUAAAGCAUAAGUAAUCAGAAAUAACGUAAAUAAUUAUGCAAACAUAAGAAACAUAAAUACAGUCGCAUGCAAUAAUAACAAGCAGUAACUACCAUACUAACAACCAAAAGGGGACN